UGCAAGUGGUGCAUCAUCUGCGUUGAAGCCUAAUUUUGAGUUUUGAGCCUUUGAAGGCUCAUGAGAUUUCUGAUGGGCAAGUGCAGCUGCGGAAGGUGUCUGUUCCGCCACCUCGUUUGCAGUUCUGCUGUACCCUGGAUUUCUUCAGUGUUAUUUCUCUUUUUCCU
Molecule: long non-coding RNA, 167 nt
Organism: Daucus carota subsp. sativus
Lineage: Eukaryota; Viridiplantae; Streptophyta; Magnoliopsida; Apiales; Apiaceae
Exons: 2
Source: RefSeq, a predicted model, not a curated record